GAUGAACGCUGGCGGCGUGCCUAAUACAUGCAAGUCGAGCGAACAGACGAGGAGCUUGCUCCUCUGACGUUAGCGGCGGACGGGUGAGUAACACGUGGAUAACCUACCUAUAAGACUGGGAUAACUUCGGGAAACCGGAGCUAAUACCGGAUAAUAUAUUGAACCGCAUGGUUCAAUAGUGAAAGACGGUUUUGCUGUCACUUAUAGAUGGAUCCGCGCCGCAUUAGCUAGUUGGUAAGGUAACGGCUUACCAAGGCAACGAUGCGUAGCCGACCUGAGAGGGGGAAUCGCCAACCUGGAACUGGAAAACGUUCCAGGCCCCAGCGGGAGGGAGCGUAAGGGAAUCUUCCGCAGUGGGGGAAAGCCUGGAGGGGCAACCCCCGGGAGUGAAUAAAGGUUUUCGAUUCGUAAAACUAUUGUAUUGGGGAAAAACAAAUUGUAACGUAACUUUGCCCGUUUGACCGGACCCUAACCAGAAAGCACCGGAUAACUCCGU
RNAcentral lists this ribosomal RNA (496 nucleotides) under uncultured bacterium. RNAcentral's name for it is "partial 16S ribosomal RNA". It matches the Rfam family "Bacterial small subunit ribosomal RNA", at positions 28 to 506 of the family's 1533-position model. The record is from RNAcentral.